Molecule: long non-coding RNA, 569 nt
Organism: Hibiscus syriacus
Lineage: Eukaryota; Viridiplantae; Streptophyta; Magnoliopsida; Malvales; Malvaceae
Exons: 2
Source: RefSeq, a predicted model, not a curated record
AGCGGCUUUGUCAAAUGCAUUAAAGCACAUCUACACAAAAACAACAACAAUAGAGAUCAAAUAUGAUAAACUUUGGUCAAAUAACCAAUGAUUGGUGAAUUGGAUAUUGAUCUAAACCCAAACCAGCUAGCAGAUAAAGGUUCACCUAAAGUACUUCCAUUUUGUAGCAAAAGUGCUAUAACAUUAUAGAUAUCCAAAAGUUUCACAAAGCCUAAGGAAACUUGCUUAAAGCAUGUCAAUUUGAAAUACAUAGAUAGGAGAGCGAGAAAGGAAAGAAGAGAUCCACCAUAAUGCAUCUGAUUAGGAAACAUGAGAAGCAUAUGGUCGUCGCGUAACCAACCUGCCCAAACCAAAAAGAAAUAACAGUAAAAAAUUGUAAAUAAAAAGAAAUAUUGGAAAAAGAAACCACAACUACAGAGUAGAUAUGUACUUCUUGCAGCUUCUUACGCCGCCCUUUGGACUCUACAGGGAACCGCUGCAACAUUAAGAAAAGCCUGCAAUGAAAUAUAUUGUUACAUAGCUUCUCCAUGCAAUUUGCAUACAAAUCAUAUUAGUAGACAUUUUCAAUA